Molecule: ribosomal RNA, 468 nt
Filed under: Triticum aestivum (bread wheat)
Lineage: Eukaryota; Viridiplantae; Streptophyta; Magnoliopsida; Poales; Poaceae
Description: partial small subunit ribosomal RNA
Source: RNAcentral
AUGUUGAUGCAAGACUAUUUCGCGGAGAAUCCAACGUAUCCACCGCACCUCUUCUGGAGAAGGUACCGAAUGCGCCGACCCCUCUUUGUGAGAAUUGUUCAAGCUUGCGAGGCAUAUUGUUGGUAUUUUACUCAACGAAGAAAUGCUACGGGCUUGAAGGGAUUUAGUGCAUAUAAAAAAAUCUCGGAAGCUAUGCGGGUGAUUGCAUAUGGUGUUCCUGCUGAUUAUGCCGAUGAGUAUCUCCGCAUUGGUGAAGAUACAACAAUUGAGUCAGUGCGUAGAUUUGCGAAAGUGAUCAUCCGUGUCUUUGGUCCUGAAUAUCUUCGGGCACCGAAUGAGGAUGACACAAAGAAAUUGAUGGCAUCUAAUGAGAGGAGUGGUUGGCCUGGCAUGCUAGGUUUGUAUGCAUUGGACAUGGAAAAAUUGCCUGAAGGCAUGGCAGGAAAUGUAUUGUGGCAUGUCUCGUGA